UGGGGAAUAUUGCGCAAUGGGGGAAACCCUGACGCAGCGACGCCGUGUGAGGGAAGAAGGCUUUCGGGUCGUAAACCUCUGUCAGGAAGGAAGAACCUCUCAAGGCUGAACAAGCCUUGGGACUGACGGUACUUCCAGAGGAAGCACCGGCUAACUCCGUGCCAGCAGCCGCGGUAAUACGGAGGGUGCAAGCGUUAAUCGGAAUCACUGGGCGUAAAGCGCGCGUAGGCCGUCUUUUAAGCCGGACGUGAAAGCCCUCGGCUCAACCGGGGAACUGCGUUCGAUACUGGGAGACUUGAGUCCUGGAGAGGGUGGCGGAAUUCCGGGUGUAGGAGUGAAAUCCGUAGAUAUCCGGAGGAACACCGGUGGCGAAGGCGGCCGACUGGACCUGACCUGACGCUGAGGCGCGAAGGCGUGGGGAGCGAACG
RNAcentral lists this ribosomal RNA (428 nucleotides) under uncultured bacterium. RNAcentral describes it as "bacterial SSU rRNA". It matches the Rfam family "Bacterial small subunit ribosomal RNA", at positions 355 to 774 of the family's 1533-position model. The record is from RNAcentral.